CUGUUCCUCCAGUGCAGGUGCAGGCACAGCAGUGCCACCCUUCCUGCUCCAGCUCCUUCCAUGGAGCUCCCCAAAAACCAUCCAGUUCCCUGCUCUCUGGGAACAGAAAACCCUUUUCCUCUCCUUGAAAGAAAGCUGAAACUUGCUGACAGAGGAAUAUCUGACUCAGUCAGUGUCUGAUCGUUUGAAAGCAGCCCUUUUUGCCCUGGAAGUUAAUUUAAAAUAAGCUGCAUUUUGAUGCUGUCAGGAAGCUUGGCUGGUUAGUCCUCAAAGGUUACAAACAGCAAGACUGAAGGCAAAGUUCCUGUUGUGCCAUGGCAACUGUCAAAAACUCGUGUACACAUUAGCAAGAUCAAACGUUUUCCCAGCCUGGGAAAGAGCAGGUAAACACCACGCUAAUCCCUCUGGAGCUGAGAGACAUGCAGGCUGCCAGGACAUGCUGCUUUCGUCAAGAGAUGCAAGAAGUCAGUCAGGAUUUGUUUCUCUCCUCACAGUUUGUUUAUUCAAGUUUUUAGUUCUAAGGCUGUAUGUUGGACAAGUCUUCAUGCUGAAGAUAGACUGUACCCUGGCUAAGCUCUAUGUGCAUGACAGCCUGUCAUCACUUCAGCAAGAAACAGAAGUACAACUUUAAAAACAGACUGUUAUCAGAUUUAAUGUGGAAAAAUGUCAUACAUUCUAUUUUGACAGAGAAAGUAAAAAAAAAGAAGUAUUCUACCACUUCUUUAUUAAAUAUUAAAAUAAUAUUCACAAUAUUU
Pezoporus occidentalis (night parrot) is the source of this 755-nucleotide long non-coding RNA. RefSeq lists it as uncharacterized. Lineage: Eukaryota; Metazoa; Chordata; Aves; Psittaciformes; Psittacidae. The record is from RefSeq and is a predicted model, not a curated record. The transcript has 2 exons.